RNAcentral lists this ribosomal RNA (463 nucleotides) under Streptococcus anginosus. RNAcentral's name for it is "bacterial SSU rRNA". It matches the Rfam family "Bacterial small subunit ribosomal RNA", at positions 28 to 468 of the family's 1533-position model. The record is from RNAcentral. Lineage: Bacteria; Bacillati; Bacillota; Bacilli; Lactobacillales; Streptococcaceae.
GACGAACGCGGCGGCGUGCCUAAUACAUGCAAGUAGGACGCACAGUUUAUACCGUAGCUUGCUACACCAUAGGCUGUGAGUUGCGAACGGGUGAGUAACGCGUAGGUAACCUGCCUAUUAGAGGGGGAUAACUAUUGGAAACGAUAGCUAAUACCGCAUAACAGUAUGUAACACAUGUUAGAUGCUUGAAAGAUGCAAUUGCAUCGCUAGUAGAUGGACCUGCGUUGUAUUAGCUAGUAGGUAGGGUAAAGGCCUACCUAGGCAACGAUACAUAGCCGACCUGAGAGGGUGAUCGGCCACACUGGGACUGAGACACGGCCCAGACUCCUACGGGAGGCAGCAGUAGGGAAUCUUCGGCAAUGGGGGGAACCCUGACCGAGCAACGCCGCGUGAGUGAAGAAGGUUUUCGGAUCGUAAAGCUCUGUUGUUAAGGAAGAACGAGUGUGAGAAUGGAAAGUUCAUG